AUUGAACGCUGGCGGCAUGCCUUACACAUGCAAGUCGAACGGCAGCAUGGGUGCUUGCACCUGAUGGCGAGUGGCGAACGGGUGAGUAAUGCAUCGGAACGUGCCCUGAAGUGGGGGAUAACGUAGCGAAAGUUACGCUAAUACCGCAUAUUCUGUGAGCAGGAAAGAGGGGGAUCGCAAGACCUCUUGCUUUGGGAGCGGCCGAUGUCGGAUUAGCUAGUUGGUGAGGUAAAGGCUCACCAAGGCGACGAUCCGUAGCGGGUCUGAGAGGAUGAUCCGCCACACUGGGACUGAGACACGGCCCAGACUCCUACGGGAGGCAGCAGUGGGGAAUUUUGGACAAUGGGCGCAAGCCUGAUCCAGCCAUGCCGCGUGAGUGAAGAAGGCCUUCGGGUUGUAAAGCUCUUUCGGUUGGGAAGAAAUUGCUUCGGAUAAUACCCGGAGUAGAUGACGGUACCAGCAUAAGAAGCACCGGCUAACUACGUG
This 486-nucleotide ribosomal RNA is filed under the name uncultured organism. RNAcentral describes it as "bacterial SSU rRNA". It matches the Rfam family "Bacterial small subunit ribosomal RNA", at positions 30 to 507 of the family's 1533-position model. The record is from RNAcentral.